Non-coding RNA from Pelobates cultripes (western spadefoot toad), 2894 nucleotides. The record is from the annotation of a GenBank genome assembly. NCBI's taxonomy places the organism in Eukaryota, Metazoa, Chordata, Amphibia, Anura, Pelobatidae.
CAUGUAUAAUAUAUAGAAAAAUCUUUAUUUUAUAUAAUUAUUGAUACACCCACUAUUAGGCUUCCAUAUUCAAUUACUGAAGGAGAUGGCGAUUAUAGAGAAUCUAAUUGAAAAGAUUUGGACUAUAGCUGGUGAUUUGUAGAUUUUAAGAUUGUUUUCCUUCUGUCUAGCUCCGAUCACUGUAGUUAGCUGGGAAGUAAGCUCCAUUCACAACAGCCUGUAGAUGGAAGUCACAGAUUACUCUACUGUUGUAACUAGGAAAACCCAUCUUUUGAUAUCAGAAUUGAUAUUAGCAGAGGGCUUCCUGAGGGUUAGUGAUGGGGAUGGGAUUACGGGUAGGGUUAGGUUUAGAUGUAGGCUCAGGGUUAAUGCUGUUUUAUGGUUAUGGAUAUUGUAGGGUUGAUGGUAAUGUUAGGGUAGGUAUGCGGUUAGUGUAAGCUUAGUGUUAGGAUUGGUAAAGGGCUUAUCCUUAAAAGGACACUUUAGGCACCAAAACAACUUUAGCUUAAUAGAGCAAUUUUGAUGUAUUGUGCAUGCCCCUGCUCACUGCUCAAUUCUUUUCUAUUUUGGAACCAAUUUUUAAAUGUUAUUUCUGGAUCUUUAUGUACAUUUGUAUUACUAAGAAGUGUGUUCUCUUUUAGUUGGAAUUACCGCCUGAAUAUUUUUUGGCAUUGAUUCUACCAGCUUAAAACAAAUCAUUUUCCAUUUGUUGCUUUGGAACCACAGUUCAAUAACCUUUUAUCAAGUGUUUGAUCAGUUCACUCUACCAAGAAGUUUUUUUCUGAAUGCUCCACAAAAUUUUUACUCUGUUUAAGUGUGGAGAAUUACCAGGCCAAACACCCAAAUCUGGUGUUUCUCUUAUCCAGCGAAAGUCAAAGUUUGAUAUAGCAGAAGGGUUAGUGUGGGGCCUUUGUAAUUUCUCAGAUCUAUAUGCAAAUAGAAGACAGACAAAAAAAAGGUAAGAAUAGUGUAGUGUAUCUUGGUAUUCGUUGGAGAGAUAUAGUAAGCAAAAUGUUCACUUUUCUGGAGCUUGAAUUCAGCUCCAACUUGGGAAGAAUAAUCACCGCCUAAGAAUAUGGUGUAAUAGUAAUAUAGCAAGCGGUCCUAAUGGUAGUAGAUAUAUUCAUUGAACGUGUAGGGUAGAACAGAGAAAAUAAGUGUGUAGUAUGUUACACUAUAUACUACUCUAUAUAAAGUAUUGCACUCACAUGAUAAGGAGCCUCUUGUAUUGGCUCCUGUAAUACCCACUCUAGGAUUUAUGUGUAGUGCAGAUCCUCCUCGUAUAUGUUGAGGAAAAAUACAACAAAGACAAUAGUGUACACUGAAAGUAGGGCUAAAAUAUUAAAAAAACCUACUUACAUAAGGUAGAGCAAAUAACGGCAUUGCUUAAUCCUGAGGGAGUAGGUGAUAUACAUCCCCCACUAAGGAUAUGUGAAGCAGUAGGGUGUUGAGGUCCAAUAAAUAAAUCUGUUCUUUUGUCUUGGGAAAGUUUUACCAAGAUGGCUACAUUUUGUUGUUUGGGGUUACAGAGCAAGUGUUUUCAUUAGAAGCAAUUUUACACCUGUAAGAGCUGAUCAUCUCUAACAGAUGUUUUAUUUUUUAUUUUCACAGGAGGUGGUUAUGAGAGCCUAGUUCCAACUAAUAGUAUGAUGAACUCUGCAAACUACAUAGAAAUCCUAAACAGGAGAGCUCUGCCAUUCCUAUGGACCCUUGCAGGGACAUUUCAUCAUGGCUUGCUCCAUGUCAUAAUUCACAAAGCUGUCAGGAUGUUCAUGCUAAAAACAAAAUUGAUGUGCUUGAUUGGCCUAAUAAUUCUCUGGACUUAAACCAAGAAGACGUAUUCUGAAGAAAGUACUUGGUAAACUGGACUGUUACAUGAAAGAAUGGUUGAUUAAAAAACAAAAAAACAUAAAAGUGUGGUUCCACAAGAAUGAAGUAAAGGAUAUUUGCUCUAAACUAGCAGAAUCAAUUCAAAAAGUUUUUUUAAAGAGGUAAAUUCUUACUAAUAUUAGGUAAUAAAAUAUAUAAUAUAAAAGAUAAGACACAAAAUUAAAACCACCUACCUAUUAUCGUGUAGGUCCCCCUCGCGUUGCCAAAGCAGCUCUGAUGCAUCAAGAAACCUCUGAAUGUGUCCUUUGGUAUCUGGUACCAAGAUAUUCGACGCAGAUUGCUUUAGCAGAUCCUACAGUUGCUCAAUCGGAUUGAGAUCUGGAGAAAUUAGAGGCCCCAGCAACACUUUGAACUCUUUUUCAUAUUCUACAAACAAUUCCUGAACAAUUUUUGUUAAAAGAGACCACUGCCAUCAGUUAACAUCAAUGCCAGGAAGGGGUGUACAUGGUCUGCAACAAGCGAAAAUAUUAAAUUGGAAGUGUUUUCAAGUUUUGCAACAAACUAGGGGGGAAAAAAUGCUUCUUGACCGCAGAAACGCAGUCAGAUCUCUUUGAUCUUGGGUCUCGAAUCUGUUACGCCACAUAUUAAAAAAGAUCCCUGAAAAUGAAAUGUGAUUGGACCAGACGGGCUAAUCUUCACUCUCCACAUGCAUCAAUAAGCCUUGGUUAUCCAUCACUCGGGUGCCAGUUCACCAGUUGUCCUACUUUGCACCACUUAUGGCAAGUACUAACCACCAUACCAGGAAAACAUUACAAGACUCGCUGUUUUGGAGAUUCUUUGACCCAGUCAUCUAGCCCUCACUCUUCUGCACUUGUCAAACUCAUUCAGAUCUUUUCACUUACCCAUUUUUCCUACUUCCAACACAUUACAAUUCAAUAAUGAACUGUUAACUUGCUGCCUAAUAUAUCCCACUACUUGACAGGUGCCAUUAUAACAAUAUAAUCAAUGUUAUUUACUUCACGUCAGUGGUUUUAAUGUUGUUUCUGAUCAGUAUAAGUGCAAAG